Non-coding RNA from Phrynosoma platyrhinos (Desert horned lizard), 72 nucleotides. NCBI's taxonomy places the organism in Eukaryota, Metazoa, Chordata, Lepidosauria, Squamata, Phrynosomatidae. The record is from the annotation of a GenBank genome assembly.
GCCAGCAUGGUGUAGUGGUUUGAGCGUCAGACUACAACUCUGGAAAACAGGGUUCAGUUCCCAGCUCGGCCA